UACGUAGGUGGCAAGCGUUGUCCGGAUUUACUGGGCGUAAAGAGCGCGCAGGCGGUCGUUCAAGUCGCGUGUGAAAGCCCCCGGCUCAACUGGGGAGGGUCACGCGAUACUGAUCGACUCGAAGGCAGGAGAGGGUAGUGGAAUUCCCGGUGUAGUGGUGAAAUGCGUAGAUAUCGAGAGGAACACCUGCGGCGAAGGCGGGUAGCUGGGCCGACACUGACGCUGAUGCGCGAAAGCCAGGGGAGCGAACGGG
This 253-nucleotide ribosomal RNA is filed under the name uncultured bacterium. RNAcentral describes it as "partial 16S ribosomal RNA". It matches the Rfam family "Bacterial small subunit ribosomal RNA", at positions 524 to 776 of the family's 1533-position model. The record is from RNAcentral.